Molecule: ribosomal RNA, 468 nt
Filed under: uncultured bacterium
Lineage: Bacteria
Description: partial 16S ribosomal RNA
Rfam family: Bacterial small subunit ribosomal RNA
Source: RNAcentral
GACGAACGCUGGCGGCGUGCUUAACACAUGCAAGUCGAACGGAAAGGCCCUGCUUUUGUGGGGUGCUCGAGUGGCGAACGGGUGAGUAACACGUGAGUAACCUGCCCUUGACUUUGGGAUAACUUCAGGAAACUGGGGCUCAUACCGGAUAGGAGCUCCUGCUGCAUGGUGGGGGUUGGAAAGUUUCGGCGGUUGGGGAUGGACUCGCGGCUUAUCAGCUUGUUGGUGGGGUAGUGGCUUACCAAGGCUUUGACGGGUAGCCGGCCUGGGAGGGUGACCGGCCACAUUGGGACUGAGAUACGGCCCAGACUCCUACGGGACGCAGCAGUGGAGAAUAUUGCACAAUGGGCGGAAGCCUGAUGCAGCAACGCCGCGUGCGGGAAGACGGCCUUCGGGUUGUAAACCGCUUUCGCCUGUGACGAAGCGUGAGUGACGGUAAUGGGUAAAGAAGCACCGGCUAACUACGUG